AGUGAACGCUGGCGGCAUGCCUUACACAUGCAAGUCGAACGGCAGCACAGGAAGUUGCAGCUGGUGGCGAGUGGGGGACGGGUGAGUGAUACGUAGGAACCUGUCCUGUCGUUUUGGAUGGGGCUGCGGAAGGGGGAUUAAUACCGAAAACGAAUUACAGCUACAAGCGGAGGAACUGGAGCUUCGGAGCUUGAGCGAUUGACGAUGGCGGAUUAGCUAGUUGGAGGGGUAAAGGCCUACCAAGGCGACGAUCAGUAGCUGGUCUGAGAGGACGACCAGCCACACUGGGACUGAGACACGGCCCAGACUCCUACGGGAGGCAGCAGUGGGGAAUAUUGGACAAUGGGCGCAAGCCUGAUCCAGCAAUGCCGCGUGGGUGAAGAAGGCCUUCGGGUUGUAAAGCCCUUUUGUUGGGAAAGAAAAGCAUCACGCUAAUACGCUGGGGUUAUGACGGUACCGGAAGAAUAAGCACCGGCUAACUUCGUG
This 486-nucleotide ribosomal RNA is filed under the name uncultured bacterium. Its description in RNAcentral is "partial 16S ribosomal RNA". It matches the Rfam family "Bacterial small subunit ribosomal RNA", at positions 30 to 507 of the family's 1533-position model. The record is from RNAcentral.